CGGCCUGCGGAGAGGGAGCCCGCGACGUCCAGCCGCCCCCACCACCUGCAGAGCGACAGCAGGAAGGUUGGCAGCCACACGGGGAGCACGCCCGCCUCUCCCCGCGGCCCGCGCCCUCACCUGCCGCCCCGCCUCUCCCGCCGCUCCCGGGCGCCUCCGAGCGGUUCUCCAGUUUCUCGGGGGAGGCCUGAGUCCGGCCUCGGUCCCGCGGCCUCAGGUAGGCCCGACCGCCGCCUCCGGCCGCCACCAGCAACGGUUCCAGCUCGCCAGCGCGCACCUGUGGGGCCAGCGGCGUGUUCCAGGAAGCGCCCUCCAGCUGUCCAGGGGCACUGCCACUGGGAGAGGGCUCCCGCCCAGGGGGCCUGGAUAAGGGCAGGGGCCCCCAGCCCAGCCCAGGCCAGCCCAGCCCAGCGCAGGGAUAGGGGGACCCCAAGGGACGGACGGAGAGCCGGUGCGUGAGCGCCCCUGGGGAGAGGAUUGGGACCCCAACGCUGAGCGCCGAAGGGAGCACGUACCCGGAAAACGAUGUACAGCGACUCCCCGAGACCGAGGGAGAAGAUUGCUGAGACGAAGACGCCAUGCGCCCGCGACAGGUGGUUCUUGGCGCCUUUGCCGCCCGCGGCUCCGUAGGCUGAGAUCCUGCGGGGAACGGACGGUGAGUCCCCGGCCUUCGGUGCUCAGGCCGGCCGCUCCGGGCAGAAGUUGGCGACAGAGGAGGCUCCAGAAUUAUUUUUUAUCUGAGGGACUUGGAGGCUGCAAUCGACUCUGACGGGAUGGGAAGGGUAGGUUUGCACACCGAAAAAUCAGAUAUUACACUUAUUUCAGGAGGGUUCGUGGAAAUGUGGGGAGGCUCAAGCACCCCUUGGCGCCGCCCUGGUUGGGGGCCUUCCGCUCGGUGUAAGAGGUUCCGGGUAAGGGCUAACUCGGUGGCGACUACUGCCACCUUGAAGGGCACUCAAGGUGGACCUCCCCGCGGAAUAGUCCAAGACGCAAGUCGGUGCGCACGUGGACUUCGUUACCCUGAGGGUGAAACCUCCAACUAGCAGGUCACUGUCCACCCUACCUCCGCCGUGCACUUACAGAUACUGGCCAGGGCCCGGCACGCGCCACAGCUGCACGCCUCUCAGCUGCCCGGCGGCCCCCACGGUCACCACCACGCUGGUCCCCGCGUACGCCCCGUCACAUUGUGUCUGUGUGGGCCCAUGCCGGCCGCUGGCCCCGCAGGUAGAAAACAGCCAAGACCCCUCGGUGCCUGAGAGCAAGGAGCGAGGCAAGGGUCGUCGAGCCCCUGGCUGGGCCAGAGGGGUCUGGUAUGGUGAGCGAAAGAGGAAGGAGGCGUCUAAAGCUCACCCGGAGAAUUCAGCGGGGAGGCUGGCUCCAAGAUACUAGGCGGGGCGCUGACUUUCGGGUCCCGGGGGCUGGGACUUGCCAGCGGCAGGGGCGAGGACCGCAGAAAAGUCUCCUGGGACCCCGGGCUAGAGCAGAGAAUGGCGCCUGAAAGGUGUUGGGAGAAGGCGCAGGACGUUAAGGCGGGUGGAAAUAGGAUAUGAAAGAAAGAGAGAACCCCGCAACAGCUGCCCUUGCGGUCGCGGCCACACCCGUCACCCGGCCCAGCCGCGCUCUCAGCCUGGAAGCCACUACCCGACUCCGGUCGCAGAAGCCCCGCGGGUGCGCGCUGAUAGGUCUGCCAGUUUCUCUCCUCGAGCGCCUUUCCCAGUGAAUAACUUAGGGGCCGCAAUGAAUUUGGUCCUGCAGCCUCCCCAAUGCUUUCCUCAACUUAGAUUGGUGGCCCCGCCCCAAGGCGGUGCUGAGACCCCAAAGAAUGUUCCUCCUUCCCAAGCUGCGUGAUCCAGACUCUGGGAUUCGCACGCACUUGGCGCUUCUCGGCCCGCACUCCAGAAGCACGGACCGGAGAAAUUUGGCUGUGAGAGUUCGAGGCCUCUGGAGGAACCACUGACACCUGGCCUGUUGACCGGCCACCCCCAAGCCUAGGAAAGUGCCUCAGGCUGGACGGUCCCCUGACCGCCAGAUAGCACUUACCCGCGGCUCCGAACCACACCAGCAGCUGUCCCCAGCAGCCCAUCCCUGUUGGGUCCACCCGGCAACAAAAGCCCUUGCGGUCGCGGCCACACCCCUGUCAACCUAAAGUUGACAGCUCAUUUUGCCACGGCAGCCCUGGCCACCACUUACAGGGGUGUGCUGCCGCUGGCGAGACACUCCCCGGACCUAAAGCUGGUCUGGCCACGCCCACCUCAGACCCCAGGACGCCAGAGGAGGAAAGGGAGGGGCGUGUGGGCAGCGAGGUCCCUACGCUUCCGGGAGGAGCCUUAAGGAGUCCCCACCCAGGGGUUCUAGUUUCCAGCCGUCAGAUGUGCCGCAGCCUGCUGGGAGCUCCGGUAGGUUUGAGGCCGGAGAGGAGGUGCCCCACGCUUAAAGUGGGAGCCACACCUCGGACACCAGGUGGGGGCUUCCAGGUUCCUGAGGACAGGAGCAGUGGAGUGUGCACUUCAUUUGUGGCAGUGGUGGUGGUGGUGAGUGUGUGGCAUGCGUCACCACACGUGGGAAGUACUCUAAACUGCUCCAAGUAAGGCCUCAUUACCUGCCAUUACUUGUGCCUUUUAGUGGUGCCUUUGUGACUGCAAGGCUGAACCUCAUUGCUACUCCCAGAAACCUGGAUCUCUGUGUUUGCCUCAUAUAAUUCCGUUGCCUGUGUUACCCCUGUGCACAGCCUCUCACUGUGAUGGGGUGAAAGACUGGACCAGACGUUAGAAGAUCCGAGUGUUUUUAGUAGCACUGAAGGUCAAUAGAUGAUAGGUAGGUAGACCGAUCGAUCGAUUGAUCUUGAGCACUAGUACUGGCACCUCUGGUCAAUGGGUGAUGUAGCACAGGCCACAACUGCCCUGAGAGUUUCCCCACCACCUGCAAAAUCAUAUGAAGGGAAAUUGCUCUGUAAGGUACCCUACAAAUGUGGGAGCCACUCCCUUCAGGUAGUUUUGUGUCUUGAGUCUUCGAUCAUUUGCUUAAAUGAUCAUUUGCCGGGUGCGGUGGUUCAUGCCUGUAAUCCUAGCACUUUGGGAGGCUGAGGCGGGCAGAUCACCUGAGGUCAGGAGUUCGAGACUAGCUAGACCAUCAUGGCAAAAUCCCGUCUCUACUAAAAAUACAAAAUCAGACACACGUGGUAGCGCACGCCUGUAAUCCCAGCUACUCUGGAGGCUGAGGCAGGAGAAUGGCUUGAACCUGGGAGGCAGAGGUUGCAGAGACGAGAUCGCACCAUUGCACUCCAGCCUGGGCAACAAGAGCAAAGCCCCAUCUCAAAAAA
This 3319-nucleotide long non-coding RNA is filed under the name Homo sapiens (human). RNAcentral's name for it is "HSALNT0219242". Lineage: Eukaryota; Metazoa; Chordata; Mammalia; Primates; Hominidae. The record is from RNAcentral.